GGGAUGGGGUGACUAGUGACAGAGUGAGGAAGGGGGUGACUAGGGACAGAGGGGGUGACUAGUGACAGAGUGAGGGGGUGACUAGUGACAGUCACCCCUUCCCUCUCUCUGUCACUAGUCACUCCCUCCCUCUGUCACCAGUCACUCCCUCCCUCUGUCACCAGUCACCUCUUCCCUCUCUCACUUUGCCACUAGUCAUCUCUUCCCUCCC
Pelobates cultripes (western spadefoot toad) is the source of this 211-nucleotide non-coding RNA. The record is from the annotation of a GenBank genome assembly. NCBI's taxonomy places the organism in Eukaryota, Metazoa, Chordata, Amphibia, Anura, Pelobatidae.